RNAcentral lists this ribosomal RNA (496 nucleotides) under uncultured bacterium. Its description in RNAcentral is "partial 16S ribosomal RNA". It matches the Rfam family "Bacterial small subunit ribosomal RNA", at positions 28 to 506 of the family's 1533-position model. The record is from RNAcentral.
GAUGAACGCUGGCGGCGUGCCUAAUACAUGCAAGUCGAGCGAACAGACGAGGAGCUUGCUCCUCUGACGUUAGCGGCGGACGGGUGAGUAACACGUGGAUAACCUACCUAUAAGACUGGGAUAACUUCGGGAAACCGGAGCUAAUACCGGAUAAUAUAUUGAACCGCAUGGUUCAAUAGUGAAAGACGGUUUUGCUGUCACUUAUAGAUGGAUCCGCGCCGCAUUAGCUAGUUGGUAAGGUAACGGCUUACCAAGGCAACGAUGCGUAGCCGACCUGAGAGGGGGACGGGCCCCCCGGGAAUGGGAACCCGGUCCAGACUCCCACGGGAGGCAGCAGUAGGGAAUCUUCCGCAAGGGGCGAAAGCCGGACGGAGCAACGCCGGGGGGGGGAUGAAGGUCUUCGGAUCGUAAAACCUUUUUAUUAGGGAAAAAAAAAUUUGUAAGUAAAUAUGCACGUUUUGACGGUACCUAAUCAAAAAGCCCCGGCUAACUACGU